This 333-nucleotide long non-coding RNA is filed under the name Oryza brachyantha (malo sina). RNAcentral describes it as "long non-coding RNA (OBRA_LNC001889)". Lineage: Eukaryota; Viridiplantae; Streptophyta; Magnoliopsida; Poales; Poaceae. The record is from RNAcentral.
GCGAAGUGACGAAAUCGAAUUAAUGGGGAUUCUCAUCUUCAUUCUUUCAUCAACCAGGUAAGUUCAAUUCCACAUUCAAAUAUUCAAUGUCGAUUAGGUAGAGAUCAAUAGAUCAUCCAGAACAAGGAGAUCGAAACAAAUCGUUGAGAUCGAGCAAAUAUCUCUAGUUAAUUAGGCCCCAAUGCAAGGCAUCGACAGUCAAGAGAAUUAAUGUCGCGCCGUCGCGCGCACACAAACGCACAGCCAGUCGACCAGCUAUACACUAGUUGGAACAAGACGACGACGAGUCGUCGCCGUUGCGACGACGGUCACCGGCGGCCGCCGCCGCCCCCC